This 450-nucleotide ribosomal RNA is filed under the name uncultured Glomeromycotina. RNAcentral's name for it is "SSU rRNA". It matches the Rfam family "Eukaryotic small subunit ribosomal RNA", at positions 569 to 1022 of the family's 1831-position model. Lineage: Eukaryota; Fungi; Glomeromycota. The record is from RNAcentral.
AGCAGCCGCGGUAAUUCCAGCUCCAAUAGCGUAUAUUAAAGUUGUUGCAGUUAAAAAGCUCGUAGUUGAAUUUCGGGGUCAGUAGAUUGGUCAUGCCACUGGUAUGUACUGGUCUUACUGGCUCCUCCUUCCUGAUGAACCGUAAUGCCAUUAAUUUGGUGUUGCGGGGAGACUGGACUGUUACUUUGAAAAAAUUAGAGUGUUUAAAGCAGGCUAACGCUUGAAUACAUUAGCAUGGAAUAAUGAAAUAGGACGUUCGAUCUUAUUUUGUUGGUUUCUAAGAUUGACGUAAUGAUUAAUAGGGAUAGUUGGGGGCAUUAGUAUUCAAUUGUCAGAGGUGAAAUUCUUGGAUUUAUUGAAGACUAACUACUGCGAAAGCAUUUGCCAAGGAUGUUUUCAUUAAUCUAAGAACGAAAGUUAGGGGAUCGAAGACGAUCAGAUACCGUCGUA